This is a long non-coding RNA of Glycine soja, 681 nucleotides long. RefSeq lists it as uncharacterized. The record is from RefSeq and is a predicted model, not a curated record. Lineage: Eukaryota; Viridiplantae; Streptophyta; Magnoliopsida; Fabales; Fabaceae. The transcript has 2 exons.
UUUCAAGGACCAGAGCCUCCUAGAGAAGAAGGAGAGGAAUUAGAGAUAAGUUGUAUUUUCAUUGAUUUGUAGGUAAUUACAUGGCUAUAUUUAUAGAGUAAAUUUCCUAACAGAAUUGUGAUUCUGUUGCUAGGAAAGAUUAGAAGCAAAAACGAAAAGAUCACAGGCAAAACGAUUUUGGUAUUGCUGUCCCCUGAUUCCAGACAACAAUCAUCUGCAAAUUUUCCCUUGAACCAGCUCAGCAAGAUCCUCACACGUAGUCCUACAGAUUAGAAGCAAAAACGAAAAGAUCACAGGCAAAACGGUUUUGGUAUUGUUGUCCCCUGAUUCCAGACAACAAUCAUCUGUAGAUUUUCUCUUGAGUCAGCUCAGCAAGAUCCUCACACGUAGUCCUGCAGGUAUGAGGGCUUUGUGAUCGUUCUUUUUGCUCUGUUUUCUAGUUGCACCCCACUGUUAAUGUCUUUACUAGGCUCAUUGCUAGUUGCUUGUUGCACCCCUGUUUCCCUAUCACUAGUUCAGAUCAAUGCGCUACAACUUAAUUAGAUAAUUCAAAUCUGAAACGAUAAAGGGAUAUCAUGCGUAAUGUUUGAAAAGCACGGGUGCAUUUGUAAUAUGUAUAAAAUACAGGGGGUGUCAUGUAAUUGUGUAAUUGAGGGUAAUUUUGGAGUUCAAGUUUUAAAA